This 65-nucleotide transfer RNA is filed under the name Agama lebretoni. RNAcentral's name for it is "tRNA-His". Lineage: Eukaryota; Metazoa; Chordata; Lepidosauria; Squamata; Agamidae. The record is from RNAcentral.
CCCGGAUAGUUAAUUAUAAACACUUAGGUCGUGACCCUAAAAACAGAGGAAACCUCUUCCGAGCU